ACGGGGUGCAGCAGGCGCGAAAACUUUACAAUGCAGGAAACUGUGAUAAGGAGACACCGAGUGCUCGCAUCAAAUGCGGGCUGUCCACAUACCUAAAUCGUAUGUGUUAGCAAGGGCCGGGCAAGACCGGUGCCAGCCGCCGCGGUAAUACCGGUGGCCCGAGUGGUAGCCGCUUUUAUUGGGUCUAAAGGGUCCGUAGCCGGUUCGGUCAGUCCAUUGGGAAAUCCGGAUGCUCAACAUCCGGGCUUCCAGUGGAUACUGCCGAACUUGGGAUCGGGGGAGGUAAGAGGUACUACAGGGGUAGGAGUGAAAUCUUGUAAUCCUUGUGGGACCACCUGUGGCGAAGGCGUCUUACCAAAACGAGUCCGACGGUGAGGGACGAAAGCUGGGGGCACGAACCGGAUUAGAUACCCGGGUAGUCCCAGCCGUAAACGAUGCUCGCUAGGUGUCAGGCAUGGCGUGACUGUGUCUGGUGCCGAAGGGAAGCCGUGAGGCGAGCCACCUGGGAAGUACGGCCGCAAGGCUGAAACUUAAAGGAAUGGCGGGGGAG
This 550-nucleotide ribosomal RNA is filed under the name uncultured Methanimicrococcus sp. Its description in RNAcentral is "bacterial SSU rRNA". It matches the Rfam family "Archaeal small subunit ribosomal RNA", at positions 325 to 876 of the family's 1478-position model. The record is from RNAcentral. Lineage: Archaea; Methanobacteriati; Methanobacteriota; Methanomicrobia; Methanosarcinales; Methanosarcinaceae.